GGCAAGGUGGCCGAGUGGUUAAGGCGCUGGAUUUAGGUUAUUAACUCCAGUGGGAAACCGCGCGAGUUCGAAUCUCGUCCUUGUCA
Non-coding RNA from Chaetomium sp. MPI-CAGE-AT-0009, 86 nucleotides. Lineage: Eukaryota; Fungi; Ascomycota; Sordariomycetes; Sordariales; Chaetomiaceae. The record is from the annotation of a GenBank genome assembly.